CCUCACGAACUCUGAGUUGGAAAUCUCCCCCAACCUCACAAACUGAGAACUCUAACUCACCCUCUAAUCUCAUGAAAUCAAAAGUCACGAACCGAGUACUCAAACUUACCCCCUCGCCGUCAUAAUCUCAAACUGUGUCGAUUACAUCUCCGACGAUUUCACGCCUUCGAUUUCACCGUUGUCAAUUUCACCCUCACCUUAUCAUUCUCCACUCUUCUCUGAAAAUCGAGGGUUAGGGUUUCAACUAUGACUUCGAUUUUCAAAACCUUCUCGCGAAACCCUUAUUUGUGAGAACCAUUGACCUACUUUUCAAAAACCCCAGAUAUUGAUGAUUACCUCGCGUCGGAGGAAACUUCGAGGAGCCUUUGCCUUUUCUUUCUCUUUCUUUUUUUUCUUCAUUUUCUCUUUUCUAUUUCAAUGAUUUUAAACGGUGAUUGAAUUUUGUAGGAAAAAGCUGCUCUAGCUCAUUAUCGAUAUGUUGAGACUCAUAAAUCUGUUUGACAUAUGGAAACAACAACAAAGAUAAUUCAAAUAGGGCUCUGUUGUUGCAUUUAAUUUCUCUUUCAUUGAAGGGUUUCUAGUUUUCUCUUUCUCUGAACGCCUCUGCUGUGGUCUUCAUCUCAGGUGAAGAAUGGAGGAAAAAGCCAACUAGGAAGACUACUGACUGAGUUUUUCAGAAUAUAGCAACAAGUUUAUUCAUGGUCCCCGUUUUGAUCCUCCGUCAAAAGAAAACGUCAAACAAAUGAUGCAGGUAUUAAAUUUUUAUGUUCAAGGAACUCUAUCAUACUGCAUUCACGUCUCUGAUGCAUUUGUGAGCCUUAGAGAAUAGAGACAAGAGGAAUGUUGAAGAUUAAACAUGUGUGUGCUUGUAUGGAUGUGCUAAACAGAGAGAGGUUGUAUGAAGAUGAGGAGUUUGUUCAGCACCAAGGGUAACUUCCAGCACUACUUGUAUCAAAGGUCCUUUAUUACUUGGGGGAGCUGAAUUCCAGUUGAUAAAGAAUCAAAAUCUAAUCGUUGUUCUUCGCUCAUAGCUGCAUCAAUCUUGCCGUCAUAUUUCGCUUUCAGCCACACCAGUAUUGUCGUUUUUGUCAGCAACCGGGGCUCACCAAUCUAGCAAUCGUCCUUAAAUUCUAACGUCACCAAUCUCGCUGUUGUUCGUAGAUUCUGGAUUCUCACCAAUCUCCUUGUAGCUAUUGUAAUCUUAAUGUUUUUAGUUGACAAGUUAGGUAGAAGAAAAUUAUUUCUAUGAAGAUGCAUUAGAAAUUUUAUAGCUACAAUUGUUUCAAGUUAAUUCUGAAUUCUGA
This is a long non-coding RNA of Vicia villosa (hairy vetch), 1304 nucleotides long. RefSeq lists it as uncharacterized. The transcript is spliced from 7 exons. The record is from RefSeq and is a predicted model, not a curated record. NCBI's taxonomy places the organism in Eukaryota, Viridiplantae, Streptophyta, Magnoliopsida, Fabales, Fabaceae.